This 67-nucleotide transfer RNA is filed under the name Actinomycetota bacterium. RNAcentral describes it as "tRNA-Arg". The record is from RNAcentral. Lineage: Bacteria; Bacillati; Actinomycetota.
GCGCUAGAGCCGAGUCCGGAUCGGUCAACGGAACCGAAGGUCUCAGGUUCGAAUCCUGACGGGCGCG